RNAcentral lists this ribosomal RNA (440 nucleotides) under uncultured bacterium. RNAcentral describes it as "partial 16S ribosomal RNA". It matches the Rfam family "Bacterial small subunit ribosomal RNA", at positions 338 to 795 of the family's 1533-position model. The record is from RNAcentral.
CCUACGGGGGGCUGCAGUAGGGAAUAUUGCUCAAUGGGGGAAACCCUGAAGCAGCAACGCCGCGUGAGUGAAGAAGUAAUUCGUUAUGUAAAGCUCUAUCAGCAGGGAAGAAAAUGACGGUACAUGAGUAAGAAGCCCCGGCUAACUACGUGCCAGCAGCCGCGGUAAUACGUAGGGGGCAAGCGUUAUCCGGAUUUACUGGGUGUAAAGGGGGCGUAGACGGCAGUGCAAGUCUGGAGUGAAAGGCGGGGGCUCAACCCCCGGACUGCUCUGGAAACUGUACGGCUGGAGUGCAGGAGAGGUAAGCGGAAUUCCUAGUGUAGCGGUGAAAUGCGUAGAUAUUAGGAGGAACACCAGUGGCGAAGGCGGCUUACUGGACUGUAACUGACGUUGAGGCUCGAAAGCGUGGGGAGCAAACAGGAUUAGAUACCCUAGUAGUC